Molecule: ribosomal RNA, 683 nt
Filed under: Klebsiella pneumoniae subsp. ozaenae
Lineage: Bacteria; Pseudomonadati; Pseudomonadota; Gammaproteobacteria; Enterobacterales; Enterobacteriaceae
Description: bacterial SSU rRNA
Rfam family: Bacterial small subunit ribosomal RNA
Source: RNAcentral
CACAUGCAAGUCGAGCGGUAGCACAGAGAGCUUGCUCUCGGGUGACGAGCGGCGGACGGGUGAGUAAUGUCUGGGAAACUGCCUGAUGGAGGGGGAUAACUACUGGAAACGGUAGCUAAUACCGCAUAACGUCGCAAGACCAAAGUGGGGGACCUUCGGGCCUCAUGCCAUCAGAUGUGCCCAGAUGGGAUUAGCUAGUAGGUGGGGUAACGGCUCACCUAGGCGACGAUCCCUAGCUGGUCUGAGAGGAUGACCAGCCACACUGGAACUGAGACACGGUCCAGACUCCUACGGGAGGCAGCAGUGGGGAAUAUUGCACAAUGGGCGCAAGCCUGAUGCAGCCAUGCCGCGUGUGUGAAGAAGGCCUUCGGGUUGUAAAGCACUUUCAGCGGGGAGGAAGGCGUUAAGGUUAAUAACCUUGGCGAUUGACGUUACCCGCAGAAGAAGCACCGGCUAACUCCGUGCCAGCAGCCGCGGUAAUACGGAGGGUGCAAGCGUUAAUCGGAAUUACUGGGCGUAAAGCGCACGCAGGCGGUCUGUCAAGUCGGAUGUGAAAUCCCCGGGCUCAACCUGGGAACUGCAUUCGAAACUGGCAGGCUAGAGUCUUGUAGAGGGGGGUAGAAUUCCAGGUGUAGCGGUGAAAUGCGUAGAGAUCUGGAGGAAUACCGGUGGCGAAGGCGGCC